AAUUCAAGUGUCUAAGAGCAUCUGGUGGAUGCCUUGGCGAUCAGAGGCGAUGAAGGACGUGGCAGGCUGCGAUAAGUCUCGGGGAGGUGUCAACAACCGUUAAUCCGAGAAUUUCCGAAUGGGGAAACCCACCCUUUACAGGGUAUCUUGUACUGAAUACAUAGGUAUAAGAGGCGAACGCGGUGAAGUGAAACAUCUCAGUAACCGUAGGAAAGGAAAUCAAACGAUACUCCCCUAGUAGCGGCGAGCGAACGGGGAUCAGCCCAGUGGCUGGAGUGUAAUAAGCAGAAGUGUCUGGAAAGUCACACCAAAGUAGGUGAUAGUCCUGUAUGCGUAAAAAGCACACCAGUCCUUGAGUAGGACGGAACACGUGAAAUUUUGUCUGAAUAUGGGGGGACCAUCCUCCAAGGCUAAGUACUCCUGAUCGACCGAUAGCGAACUAGUACCGUGAGGGAAAGGUGAAAAGAACCCCGAUAAGGGGAGUGAAACAGACCUGAAACCGGAUGCUUACAAACAGAUGGAGCACGCUUGUCGUGUGACAUCGUACCUUUUGUAUAAUGGGUCAACGAGUUAGUCUCGUAUGCAAGCUUAAGCCGAUAGGUGUAGGCGUAGGGAAACCGAGUCUGAAUAGGGCGUUUAGUAUGCGGGAUUAGAUCCGAAACCCGGUGAUCUAGUUAUGGGCAGGCUGAAGACAAGGUAACACUUGUUGGAGGGCCGAACACACUAACGUUGAAAAGUUAGGUGAUGACCUGUGACUAGGGGUGAAAGGCCAAUCAAACCGGGUGAUAGCUGAUUCUCCGCGAAAUCUAUUUAGGUAGAGCGUCAAGUGAAUACCUCAGGGGGUAGAGCACUGGAUGGGCUAGGGGGGCGCGAGCCUUACCAAACCUAACCAAACUCCGAAUACCUGAGAGUACUGCUUGGCAGACACACUGUGGGUGAUAAGGUCCAUGGUGGAAAGGGAAACAGCCCAGACCUACAGCUAAGGUCCCCAAAUCAUUGUUAAGUGGAAAAGGAUGUAGAAAGUCCAUGACAACCAGGAUGUUGGCUUAGAAGCAGCCAUCAUUUAAAGAAAGCGUAAUAGCUCACUGGUCUAAAUAAGACUUUCCGCGCCGAAGAUGUAUCGGGGCUUAAACAAUGUACCGAAGCUUAGGAUUUAUAUGUUAUCAUGUAAGUGGUAGCGGAGCGUUCUGUAAGCCUGUGAAGGGUUGCCGCGAGGUAGCCUGGAGGUAUCAGAAGUGAGAAUGUUGACAUGAGUAGCGACAAAGAGUGUGAGAAACACUCUCGCCGAAAUCCCAAGGGUUCCUGCGCAAGGCUAAUCCGCGCAGGGUGAGCCGGCUCCUAAGGCGAGGCCGAAAGGCGUAGUCGAUGGGAACACGGUUAAUAUUCCGUGGCCUGGUGGUAGUGACGGAUCUCGUAAAUUGUAUCUCCUUAUUGGAUUGGAGAUGCCGUGAAGAGGUUCCAGGAAAUAGCUCCACCAACAUAGACCGUACCCGAAACCGACACAGGUGGGAUGGUAGAGAAUACCAAGGCGCUUGAGAGAACUAUUGUGAAGGAACUCGGCAAAUUACACCCGUAACUUCGGAAGAAGGGUGACCCAUGUCCAGGCAACUGGAUAUGGGUGGCACAGACUAGGGGGUAGCGACUGUUUAUCUAAAACAUAGGGCUCUGCGAAGUCGCAAGACGACGUAUAGGGUCUGACGCCUGCCCGGUGCCGGAAGGUUAAGAGGAGAAGUGAGAGCUUUGAAUUGAAGCCCCGGUAAACGGCGGCCGUAACUAUAACGGUCCUAAGGUAGCGAAAUUCCUUGUCGGGUAAGUU
Molecule: ribosomal RNA, 1816 nt
Filed under: Alphaproteobacteria bacterium
Lineage: Bacteria; Pseudomonadati; Pseudomonadota; Alphaproteobacteria
Description: partial 23S ribosomal RNA
Rfam family: Bacterial large subunit ribosomal RNA
Source: RNAcentral